CCUACGGGAGGCAGCAGUGAGGAAUCUUGGUCAAUGGCCGGAAGGCUGAACCAGCCAAGCCGCGUGAAGGACGAAGGUGCCAAGCAUUGUAAACUUCUUUUGUCAAGGGACAAAAUCAGGCUCGAGAGCCUGACCGAGGGUACUUGAAAAAAAAGCAUCGGCUAACUCCGUGCCAGCAGCCGCGGUAAUACGUAGGAGGCAAGCGUUAUCCGGAAUGACUGGGCGGAAAGGGUGCGUAGGUGGUUUGGCAAGUUGGUAGCGUAAUCCCGGGGCUCAACCUCGGUGCUACUACCAAAACUGUUGAACUUGAGUGCAGGAGGGGUGAAUGGAAUUCCCAGUGUAGCGGUGGAAUGCGUAGAUAUUGGGAAGAACACCAGCGGCGAAGGCGAUUCACUGGACUGUAACUGACACUGAGGCACGAAAGCGUGGGGAGCAAACAGGAUUAGAUACCCUAGUAGUC
This 460-nucleotide ribosomal RNA is filed under the name uncultured bacterium. RNAcentral's name for it is "partial 16S ribosomal RNA". It matches the Rfam family "Bacterial small subunit ribosomal RNA", at positions 338 to 795 of the family's 1533-position model. The record is from RNAcentral.